Molecule: ribosomal RNA, 237 nt
Filed under: uncultured bacterium
Lineage: Bacteria
Description: partial 16S ribosomal RNA
Rfam family: Bacterial small subunit ribosomal RNA
Source: RNAcentral
CGACGUAAACAAACCGCCUUCAGGAUGGGGACAACAGACGGAAACGACUGCAAUACCGAAUAAGUUCCAAGAGCCGCAUGGCCCAUGGAAGAAAAGGUGGCCUCUACCUGUAAGCUAUCGCCUGAAGAGGGGUUUGCGUCUGAUUAGCUGGUUGGAGGGGUAACGGCCCACCAAGGCGACGAUCAGUAGCCGGUCUGAGAGGAUGAACGGCCACACUGGAACUGAGACACGGUCCAG